GAUGAACGCUGGCGGCGUGCCUAAUACAUGCAAGUCGAGCGAACAGAUGAGGAGCUUGCUCCUCUGACGUUAGCGGCGGACGGGUGAGUAACACGUGGAUAACCUACCUAUAAGACUGGGAUAACUUCGGGAAACCGGAGCUAAUACCGGAUAAUAUAUUGAACCGCAUGGUUCAAUAGUGAAAGACGGAUUUGCUGUCACUUAUAGAUGGAUCCGCGCCGCAUUAGCUAGUUGGUAAGGUAACGGCUUACCAAGGCAACGAUGCGUAGCCGACCUGAGAGGGUGAUCAGCCACACUGGAACUGAGACACGGUCCAGACUCCUACGGGAGGCAGCAGUAGGGAAUCUUCCGCAAUGGGCGAAAGCCUGACGGAGCAACGCCGCGUGAGUGAUGAAGGUCUUCGGAUCGUAAAACUCUGUUAUUAGGGAAGAACAAAUGUGUAAGUAACUAUGCACGUCUUGACGGUACCUAAUCAGAAAGCCACGGCUAACUACGUG
This 497-nucleotide ribosomal RNA is filed under the name uncultured bacterium. Its description in RNAcentral is "partial 16S ribosomal RNA". It matches the Rfam family "Bacterial small subunit ribosomal RNA", at positions 28 to 507 of the family's 1533-position model. The record is from RNAcentral.